Gadus macrocephalus (Pacific cod) is the source of this 2733-nucleotide long non-coding RNA. RefSeq lists it as uncharacterized. The transcript is spliced from 2 exons. Lineage: Eukaryota; Metazoa; Chordata; Actinopteri; Gadiformes; Gadidae. The record is from RefSeq and is a predicted model, not a curated record.
GCACCCCGCUGACCCGGUUCUGUUCCCGCUAACGCAGCUCGGGGGGCUGCAGUUUGACAAGGAGCUGCGCUCGCUGGUGGCGUACCUGACCACCAUCACCACCUGGACCAUCCGCGACAAGUUUGCCCGCCUCACACAGAUGGCCACCGUCCUCAACCUGGAGAGGGUCACGGAGAUCCUGGACUACUGGGGGCCCAACUCGGGGCCCCUGACCUGGCGCCUGACCCCCGCCGAGGUGCGGCAGGUCCUUGCACUCCGCAUCGACUUCCGCAGCGAAGACAUAAAGCGGCUCCGCCUGUAGGGGGGGGAUGGGGGGGACCUGUGUCUGAGACCAAGACCAGGAUGCGGUCUGGGACCGGGACCAGGACCGGUCUGGAACCAGGACGAGGCCCGAGACCAAGUCGUGGUCUGGGACCAGGACACAGCCCGAGACAAGGACCGGGACGCAGUCUGGGACCGGGACCAGGAUUCGGUCUGGAACCAGGACGCAGCCCGAGACAAGGACCGGGACGCGGUCUGGAACCGGGACCAGGAUCAUGGAUCGGGUCGCCGUCCAUCGUGCGGCAGCGGGCUGCUGAGGCUCUGCUGGGACUGAACUCGUAGAUCCAUUCUUUACUUGUGUUCUUCCAGACCAGUUCUUGUGUACAUAUGUUAUCAGGGUGAGGGGUGGGACUGUGAUUAGUCUUGAGGAAGGAGAACAUUUUCCCUGGCGUUAAACACCUCAGCCUUCCUGUGAGCACCGCUGAGUCGGAGUGGAUCUGGGCUCCGGCCCGGGGGGCAUCGGAGCGUUUCAGGGGAAUAUGAAAUGUAAAAGAAUCUGUCAAAUGUUUAAUUUCAUGAUAACGUCGAUCUGGGAGUUGAGUUUUUUUAUAUCUGUAAGUAAGACUGCGCUAGAUGUGUCAGGCAGCGCGUAAUGAACACACUCCAUUAGAGGACAGAAGCGGGUCAGACGACUGAUCCAACGUUCAACACAUGAAUAGCUUCUUGUCUGCGCUGAUGGGACACUUUUAACCUAAUAAAUUGAGAGGCUGUACAAUGCUGUUGAUCUCUGCUGUGCUACAUUCUGCAAAGUGCUGUCCUAUCAGCGCGGAGGCCGCCACAAAGCCUUUGUAUUGCGGCCACAUCGGAGUCACUGAGUACAGCGCAUUAUGCACAAGGUAAUGAACCAUUAAAAGAGGGCCACUCUAAUAACGUCGCCUCAUCUCCACAGCUAACCUUAAUCUGUAGACGGGUCUGCUGAGGAGACACUGCUUUGUGUGUGUGUUUGUGUGUGGUGCACGUGGAUUAAAGACGCGGCAGACAUUGGGAAUAGUUAGGAAAAGUGUGGCUUUAAUGUAAACACAACAUUCGAUUGGCUCAGCACAAACAUUCCACAUGAGAGCAACCAAUAAAACUACGGAGUAGGAUGGGAUGCAGCACAAAAACAUUCACAGUAAAAAAAAAAUCUGGUAUAAUCAUAAUAUAUAUAUACAGUACGGUGUUUCAAGGUGAGAAUGGAAAGAGCAUAUGAGGAGUGAUAUGUGAUAGAUAAAGAGUAUACAGGGAAAGGAGGAUGGAGGAUGGAUAUCAGGAGUGGAGAGAUGGAGAGCUGUACGACCCACAGACCGGGGGGCGUGGUGCACUGUGUCUGUGAAGGGGCAGGGCUAAACGCCUAGCUCACUGGAGAGGGGGCGGGGCUAAACGCCUAGCUCACUGGAGAGGGGGCGGGGCUAAACGCCUAGCUCACUGGAGAGGGGGCGGGGCCAGACGCUUAGCUCACUGGAGAGGGGGCGGGGCUAAACGCCUAGCUCACUGGAUAGGAGGGGGGGGGGGGGGCUUAACGCCUAGCUCAGUGGAGAGGAGGCUGGGCUAAACGCCUAGCUCACUGGAGAGGGGGCGGGGUUAGACGCCUAGCUCACUGGAGAGGGGGCGGGGUUAGACGCCUAGCUCACUGGAGAGGGGGCGGGGGUAAACCCCCAGGAGAGGGGGGGCGUGUCAAGGCGCCAUCCCGGUAGAGUUCUACGUCUAUCAGAGUGGGGGCUGCAGGCGGUCGCGGUGGCGGAGCCCUCCGACUCGUUCACAGGUUACUGCCCCCCCUCGAGUGACGGGGGGAUGAGGGCAUGUUCUAAGGAGGUGGGAGGGUGCAUGCAGGGCAUGAGGUCUAAAUAACUCAUCCGAUGAUAUUAAAAUGCAAGGUGUUGCUUCAAUGACAUUAGGUGAUUCGACACUAGUGACCCAUGAUGGCUUCUCCCUGUCAUUCUCAGAAGGUUGGCACUGAUAUGACAUCCCCCCCCACCUAUCAUUGGCUGAUCAGAGGCAUUCUAUCCACUGCAGGGGGCCCAAUAUAAAAAGAGCCGGCGCCACUUUAACAGAGCCAUCCUCAUCUCCUUUAUGUGUUUGAAGAGAAAGAAAGAGUGAGAAAGACAAACGGAGGUUCCUGCAGGCUACUGGCAUUAAGCAGUCAUGUGCGACCAGAAGAAAGGGGAGCUUUGUCCCAGUGAGCGCUAAAGAGCUCUGUUCAUCUCCAGCAUGACCCCCAGCCACCGGUACAGUUCCCCCCCUACACCACCACCACCACCUAUAUAUAUAUAGAAGUAGAGCAUCUGUGGCCGGGCGGCACCAGGGGUUAUUCAGCAGGACAGCGGCUCUCUCGGCCUCGCUGAUCAAAUGUAAAGGACGACCACUAUCUUUUUUUUUGGUGUUUUUUUAAGGAAAUGUUAAAAGAGUACAUUGUGCAUUCCGUGCAUCGGAUUU